This 1862-nucleotide long non-coding RNA is filed under the name Homo sapiens (human). RNAcentral describes it as "HSALNT0384170". Lineage: Eukaryota; Metazoa; Chordata; Mammalia; Primates; Hominidae. The record is from RNAcentral.
AGACCCUGAGGAGACUGAGCCCAGCGCCAGGCGACCGGUCCCCGCCGCCGCCGCCCCUGCGCGGGAGAUCCCCCCUGCUUAGUCCGCGCCCGAGCCCCCGUCCGUGGGAACAGACAAGGGGCCUCCGCAGCGCCUCACAACCCCCGACCAGGUCCAGCGGCGGGGGACUCGGCCGUGGAGGGCGCUGUUCGGUCUGGAUGGCUCCCCCCAUCAGCGGGAGGCUACACCCCCCACCAGCAGGGGCAAGAGGAGCAGCGGGAUGGGAGCAGGCCAACGUCCUGCGGCCUGGUUGAGCUCGCACUGACAAUCGCAGGUUUCGGACACGGGGGUCGCUUUGGGGGGCCUGGGGGCGCGGGGACCAGAGCUCGGGGCGGGGCAGUCCAGCCAGUUGGGCCCCAUGGGCUGGGGGGCGUCCGGCUCGGUCUUGAUGCUGUUCUUGGGGAAGCGCCAGUAGUGGGCGCCCUUGAAGAAGUAGGUGUCACCUGGAGGAGCAGAGCUUGAGUCCCGGUCCCUCCCCGCCCCGCCGCUCCCUGAUGCCCAAGGACCCCCAUCCCCGCAGGGUGGCCUCCAUGUCCCCAUUCCCCACAUCCCUCUCCCCACCCCCAGGCCCAGUAACCCGCAGGUCACCGCGCUCCCCACCUGCGUUGCUGACGGUGACAUCGUCAGGGGAGGGGGGCGCGCCUUCCCAGAGGCUCAGGUCGCGAGGGUAGCCGGGGUCCGGGCGCGCCGCCGCCUCGUCGUAGCGCCAGUACUGCCGGCCGCGGACCAGGUAGGUCUUCCCGUUCUGUGGCCACGAGAACACGGCGUCCACCUCCUCUCCCGGGGGCAGCCCCAGCUCCGUGAGCGGCCGCGCCCCGCCCUCCAGCUGCCGGUCCUGGAACACCCAGAACUGGGGCCCUGCAGGGUGGAGGCCGGGAGGUCAGGGGUGGGCUCCCCGCGCCGGCCCCAGCGCGCCCCGCCGCCGGCCCCACUCACCGCUAAAGAGGAGGAUUCGGCCGUCUCGGUGCCGAGCAUAGGCGGCCUGCACCACCCUCACCUGGGCGGGCAGCCCCUCCCAGAAGCGGUGCAGCCGUGCGGGUCGCGGGGACACCAGCUGUCCGGAGGGCUGGAGGCGCCAGAACCAGGGGCCUGCAGGGGACAAAGGGGUUCGCAGGAAGGCAUGAGACAGCAGGAGGUCUCCUCCCCCAGGGUGUGUGGCUGGGUGGGGAGGGGUCCCAUCUGGAAAUCAAGGGCGCAAUGGAUCUAGGGUGACCAGCCCAUCCUGGCCCGCCUGAGACUUUUCCCUUUUUAGCGCUAAAAGUGCCAGGGCCUUGCCUGGUGGCUCAGACCUGUAAUGCCAGCACAUUGGGAGGCUGACACCGGAGAAUCACCUGAGCCAGGAGAUUGAGCCCAGCCUGGGCAAUAUAGUGAGACUCCAUCUCUACAAAAUAAUAAAAUAAAUUACUAGCAAGGCGUGGUGGCAUGUGCCUGUGGUCCCAGCUACCAGGGAGGCUGAGGUGGGAGGAUCGCUUGAGCCCAGUAUUUUGAGGCUGCAGUGAGCCAUGAUCACACCACUGCACUGCGGCCCAGGCAACAAAGCAAGACCCUGUCUCAAAGAAGAAAAAAGUUCCGCUUCCAGGGUAAGCCCACAGCCCCAGUGGGUCACUGGAAGUGGGCAGGAAACCAACAUAUAUGAGGCCAAGUGAAAUGACUCACCUUUGAAGAAGAAAGUUUCCCCUCGGAUGUUGGCGAUGGCGUCAAAAUUGCCCUCACAUCGAUCAGGGAUGGGGAAGGAUGGGCUGGGGAGGAAAGGAGAGAGUUGCUGCAGGCCAUCGCGGUCAUCCUGAGACAGGCGGUACUUGUCAGGGUCGCCCACCGGACCC